CCUACGGGAGGCAGCAGUGAGGAAUAUUGGUCAAUGGGCGCGAGCCUGAACCAGCCAAGUAGCGUGAAGGAUGACUGCCCUACGGGUUGUAAACUUCUUUUAUAAAGGAAUAAAGUGAGGCACGUGUGCCUUUUUGUAUGUACUUUAUGAAUAAGGAUCGUCUAACUCCGUGCCAGCAGCCGCGGUAAUACGGAGGAUCCGAGCUUUAUCCGGAUUUAUUGUGUUUACAGGGAGCGUAGAUGGGUUGUUAAGUCAGUUGUGAAAGUUUGCGGCUCAAACGUAAAAUUGCAAGUGAUACUGGCAGUCUUGAGUACAGUUGAGGUAGGCGGAAUUCGUGGUGUAGCGGUGAAAUGCUGAGAUAUCACGAAGAACUCCGAUUGCGAAGGCAGCUUACUAAACUGCCACUGACAUUGAUGCUCGAAAGUGUGGGUAUCAAACAGGAUUAGAUACCCUAGUAGUC
RNAcentral lists this ribosomal RNA (460 nucleotides) under uncultured bacterium. Its description in RNAcentral is "partial 16S ribosomal RNA". It matches the Rfam family "Bacterial small subunit ribosomal RNA", at positions 338 to 795 of the family's 1533-position model. The record is from RNAcentral.